GCCGGGGAGCCAAUAGCACAAAAAAGACUGAGCCGGCGGUGCAAACCGCGCAGCCGGCACAG
Molecule: regulatory RNA element, 62 nt
Organism: Tatumella morbirosei
Lineage: Bacteria; Pseudomonadati; Pseudomonadota; Gammaproteobacteria; Enterobacterales; Erwiniaceae
Rfam family: DnaX ribosomal frameshifting element
About the family: This family represents a ribosomal frameshifting element found in the mRNA of the dnaX gene in E. coli. The dnaX gene has two encoded products tau and gamma which are produced in a 1:1 ratio.
Source: Rfam